Molecule: transfer RNA, 87 nt
Filed under: Streptomyces sp.
Lineage: Bacteria; Bacillati; Actinomycetota; Actinomycetes; Kitasatosporales; Streptomycetaceae
Also listed under: 29 other names
Description: tRNA-Ser
Rfam family: tRNA
About the family: Transfer RNA (tRNA) molecules are approximately 80 nucleotides in length. Their secondary structure includes four short double-helical elements and three loops (D, anti-codon, and T loops).
Source: RNAcentral
GGAGGCUUGCCCGAGCGGCCGAAGGGAACGGUCUUGAAAACCGUCGUGGCAGCGAUGUCACCGUGGGUUCAAAUCCCACAGCCUCCG